Molecule: ribosomal RNA, 320 nt
Filed under: uncultured Planctomycetota bacterium
Lineage: Bacteria; Pseudomonadati; Planctomycetota
Description: bacterial SSU rRNA
Rfam family: Bacterial small subunit ribosomal RNA
Source: RNAcentral
AAUGAACGUUGGCGGCGUGGAUUAGGCAUGCAAGUCGAGCGAGAAGGGUCCGAUGCUUGCAUUGGACCUGGAAAGCGGCGAAAGGGAGAGUAACACGUAGGGUACCUGCCCCCAGGCUCGGGAUAUCGGUGGGAAACUGCCAGUAAUACCGAAUAAUGUCUCCGGACCAAAUGGUGUGAUUCCGCCUGGGGAUGGUCCUGCGUCCUAUUAGCUAGUUGGCGGGGUAAUGGCCCACCAAGGCCAAGAUGGGGUAGCGGGGCGUGAGAGCGUGGCCCGUCUCACUGGGACUGAGACACUGCCCAGACACCUACGGGAGGCUG